RNAcentral lists this ribosomal RNA (873 nucleotides) under Triticum aestivum (bread wheat). RNAcentral's name for it is "partial small subunit ribosomal RNA". The record is from RNAcentral. Lineage: Eukaryota; Viridiplantae; Streptophyta; Magnoliopsida; Poales; Poaceae.
AUGGCAGCGCAGUCCGACUCUGCGGUCGAAGAUGAGAACCACCUGGGAGACGGCGGUAAGAAGGGGGCCGCAGGGAGUGGAAGUGGAAGCCAGGGGCGGGAGGGAGCAGAUGGGGAGUACCAUGCUUGGGGACCUCCCGCAAGUCUUGAGGAUAGAUUUGAAGGUCUGCACCUACGUGGAGAGGAGGAAGUUGAACUCGAUUUCAGUGCUGAAUUUGAAGAUCUAGUCAAGGACAUUAGGUGGCUGGCGAUAUUCAGAGUUCAUACAACUCGUCAGUUCAGCCAUUCAGCUCUGUACAACGCGAUGCGCACGGCAUGGUCGUCGUCCCAACAAGUUAUCUUCAAACCAAAGGGUGUCAACCUGUUCAUUGCACAAUUUAGUUGUUUGGGGGAUUGGAAGAGGGUGAUGGACAGUGGCCCCUGGUUGUUCAGGAACGCGGCUGUUGUGAUCCAGGAAUACGACGGGUUUAGCAAUGUUAAUGAAUACAAGCUGGAUAAGAUCCCAGUUUGGGCAAGAAUUGAAGGGGUGCCCGAGGGUUUGAUGCGGAAGAAAGAGCUAGCAGAGAAGGUAGCCCGCAAGGCAGGGGAACCGCCAAUAACGGUGGUAGUGAAUGAAGGCUUCAUCAAUACCGCCAAAUUUCUUAGGGCCAGAGUGUUUCUUGAUGUUCAUGUGCCUCUGGUCAGGUUUGUGCCCAUAACCUUGAAGGAGAGGAAAAAGUACCCAGUUUACUAUGAAAAGCUUCCCGACUUUUGCUACUUUUGUGGCCUGAUGGGGCACCAAGUGGAGGAGUGCAGGGAUGGUGUGCACGAUCCUACUGCUUGUGAACGGGGAGAAUGGCUUUUGUGGAACUUUGAAAAUACUAUGCCAAAAUAG